This 462-nucleotide ribosomal RNA is filed under the name uncultured bacterium. Its description in RNAcentral is "partial 16S ribosomal RNA". It matches the Rfam family "Bacterial small subunit ribosomal RNA", at positions 28 to 507 of the family's 1533-position model. The record is from RNAcentral.
GACGAACGCUGGCGGCGUGCUUAACACAUGCAAGUCGAACGGAGAGGCCCUUCGGGGUCCUCGAAUGGCGAACGGGUGAGUAACAAGUGGGUGAUCUACCCUGCACUUUGGGUUAAGUCAGGGAAACUGGGUCUAAUACCGAAUAGGACCACGCGGCUCCCGGUGUGUGGUGGAAAGCUUUUGCGGUGUGGGAUGGGCCCGCGGCCUAUCAGCUUGUUGGUGGGGUAAUGGCCUACCAAGGCGACGACGGGUAGCCGGCCUGAGAGGGUGACCGGCCACACUGGGACUGAGAUACGGCCCAGACUCCUACGGGAGGCAGCAGUGGGGAAUAUUGCACAAUGGGCGCAAGCCUGAUGCAGCGACGCCGCGUGAGGGAUGACGGCCUUCGGGUUGUAAACCUCUUUCAGUAGGGACGAAGCGAAAGUGACGGUACCUAUAGAAGAAGCGCCGGCCAACUACGUG